GGGCCCAUAGUUAAGCGGAUAUAACCCCCGCCUUCUAAGCGGUUGUCCCAGGUUCGAUUCCUGGUGGGCCUG
RNAcentral lists this transfer RNA (72 nucleotides) under Synechococcus phage S-8S53. It matches the Rfam family "tRNA". Rfam says of the family: Transfer RNA (tRNA) molecules are approximately 80 nucleotides in length. Their secondary structure includes four short double-helical elements and three loops (D, anti-codon, and T loops). Further hydrogen bonds mediate the characteristic L-shaped molecular structure. tRNAs have two regions of fundamental functional importance: the anti-codon, which is responsible for specific mRNA codon recognition, and the 3' end, to which the tRNAs corresponding amino acid is attached (by aminoacyl-tRNA synthetases). tRNAs cope with the degeneracy of the genetic code in two manners: having more than one tRNA (with a specific anti-codon) for a particular amino acid; and 'wobble' base-pairing, i.e. permitting non-standard base-pairing at the 3rd anti-codon position. The record is from Rfam by way of RNAcentral. Lineage: Duplodnaviria; Heunggongvirae; Uroviricota; Caudoviricetes; Pantevenvirales; Kyanoviridae.